This is a long non-coding RNA of Hyaena hyaena (striped hyena), 384 nucleotides long. RefSeq lists it as uncharacterized. The transcript has 3 exons. NCBI's taxonomy places the organism in Eukaryota, Metazoa, Chordata, Mammalia, Carnivora, Hyaenidae. The record is from RefSeq and is a predicted model, not a curated record.
GGAGACCGUCUUUACCAGGGCCCCUCUUUUCCUCUAGGACUCAUUUUGGAGCCAUGGGAAAAGCUGUGAGAACCAAAUACCAUGUCGACUGUGCCCUAUGAACAACUCUCAACUGAAGAGCAAAGAGCCAGCUGCUGGGUUUGCGGAGGGCAGUUCCACAGACCACUUCCACUUUUCAUCCCCUUCUGAUGUUGCAAAUACGGAGUGGAAACAGGGAUGACUCCUAAGCAAGAAACGCUAGUGAUCUGGAAGCAAACCCACAAGAUCUCUGGACUUCUGUAACCUCACCUUGUCCGAAUACAAGUGGACUGAGUGCGGAUGGAUGUACUAGCUGCUUCCAAUGCAUGCCAGCAGAGGCUAAAACUAAUGUCCCUGGACCAAGGG